CUCAUUGCUUCUUCUCAUUUCAGGGAAAGGGAGAUCUGGUUCUGCUUCUAAUCCGGGUGUCACCUUGGUGUGACUUUGACCGGUGACUCACUACUCCAGGGCCCAAAUUCCUCCUCUGAAACCCAGGACUCCCUUCAGAACUCCAUUUACAGAGACGUAUUGUGUGGGGAAAAUGAACUCGUGCCAAGACAACGGGCAAAUCUGUCGAAUUAUGAAAUGCUGAGUGAUGUUCUAAUUCCCAAGCCGUCCCGUGGUGGAUGAAGCCGGAGCUCCCCAACCCUAGGAGUAAUCACUGAAUGGGUUCUGCCGAAUGUAAUUGUGCCGAUUGUAAUCAUUUUGCUCCAGCUCUCUGCCCCUGUGACAUUUAUUUCUUAGCCCAGAUAUUGAUCUAACAGUGGGAAAUUUUCCAUCUGAAUCCGUGAUGCCGGACCCUCCCCAAGUCCGAAGAUGUGUUUGGGAAAUUCUCAUUUUCCCUGGAUCACAGCUGAGCUAUUUGGCCUGAGGGGAACCGUGCACCGUUGGAGAAACGCCUUGGAUCGGAGAGAGAUUUUUCUUUUUUUGACCAUUAUGAGCAAAUCGGAAAUGAAUGUAAAACACAGCCUGGAAAUGCAAAGGCCUGUCAUUAUGGGAGAUAGGUGAGCAGCUCCUGUGGGAAAUGCUCAGAGAAUUGGAAAUCAGUCAAUCAAAACCAGGAUCGGAGACCGGGCCGUUUCCCCGGUAUGAAGACAGAUGACUUCCACAGGCAGAUUGAAAAUCAUUUAAGUGCUUAUUUUCUUAAUGGUUUUUCCUGGAUCCCAAUAAAUAGAUUCUGCAUCCA
This is a long non-coding RNA of Mus musculus (house mouse), 817 nucleotides long. RefSeq annotates it as predicted gene, 29932. The record is from RefSeq and is marked validated. NCBI's taxonomy places the organism in Eukaryota, Metazoa, Chordata, Mammalia, Rodentia, Muridae. The transcript has 2 exons.